CGACGAGUUUGAUCCUGGCUCAGGACGAACGCUUGCGGCGUGCCUAAGAAAUGCAAGUCGAACGGGGGCUUCGGCCCCAGUGGCGAACGGUCGCGUAACACGUAAGCAACCUGCCCUGAAGUGGGGGACAACAUCCCGAAAGGGGUGCUAAUACCGCAUGUGGUCACGAGUCGGCAUCGACUUGUGUCUAAAGAUUUAUCGCUUCAGGAUGGGCUUGCGGCCUAUCAGGUAGUUGGUGGGGUAAUGGCCUACCAAGCCGACGACGGGUAGCUGGUCUGAGAGGACGAUCAGCCGGAUUGGGACUGAGAUACGGCCCAGACUCCGUACGGGGGGCAGCAAUUAGGAAUCUUGCGCAAUGGGGCAACCCGUGACGCAGCGACGUCGCGUGAAGGAUGAAGGCCCCU
This 404-nucleotide ribosomal RNA is filed under the name uncultured Armatimonadota bacterium. RNAcentral describes it as "bacterial SSU rRNA". It matches the Rfam family "Bacterial small subunit ribosomal RNA", at positions 1 to 419 of the family's 1533-position model. Lineage: Bacteria; Bacillati; Armatimonadota. The record is from RNAcentral.